RNAcentral lists this non-coding RNA (22 nucleotides) under Arabidopsis thaliana (thale cress). Lineage: Eukaryota; Viridiplantae; Streptophyta; Magnoliopsida; Brassicales; Brassicaceae. The record is from RNAcentral.
UUGCUACAAUUAUAGUGUCGCA